GGGUUAGGGUAGAUAGGAGGGAGAGGUGCGUGGGAGUAGGGUUGCGGCGGCAAUUGGAGGAGGGAAGCGGCAUGGGUGGAGGGAGGCGCACGCGGUGGCCGGAGGAGGCGACGGCGGCUAGGGUAGGGAUUGUGGUAAGGCUGGUACCAUGUAGCCGUAUAUAAUGCGACUUUCGAUGUAUUAAUCGGAUGCAAGCGCACGAUAUAU
This 207-nucleotide long non-coding RNA is filed under the name Hordeum vulgare. RNAcentral describes it as "long non-coding RNA (HVUL_LNC001530)". The record is from RNAcentral. Lineage: Eukaryota; Viridiplantae; Streptophyta; Magnoliopsida; Poales; Poaceae.